This 106-nucleotide non-coding RNA is filed under the name Paramaledivibacter caminithermalis. RNAcentral describes it as "Clostridium caminithermale SAM-I sequence". It matches the Rfam family "SAM riboswitch aptamer (S box leader)". From Rfam's summary of the family: The SAM riboswitch is found upstream of a number of genes which code for proteins involved in methionine or cysteine biosynthesis in Gram-positive bacteria. The SAM riboswitch acts at the level of transcription termination control. The predicted structure consists of a complex stem-loop region followed by a single stem loop terminator region. The record is from RNAcentral. Lineage: Bacteria; Bacillati; Bacillota; Clostridia; Peptostreptococcales; Caminicellaceae. RNAcentral also lists the same sequence under 1 other name.
CUCUUAUCCAGAGCGACUGAGGGAACUGGCCCUAUGAAGUCCAGCAACCAGUACAAAUAUGUACAAUGGUGCCAAAUCCAGCGGUGAAAAUACCGACAGAUGAGAG